This 253-nucleotide ribosomal RNA is filed under the name uncultured bacterium. RNAcentral describes it as "partial 16S ribosomal RNA". It matches the Rfam family "Bacterial small subunit ribosomal RNA", at positions 524 to 776 of the family's 1533-position model. The record is from RNAcentral.
UACGGGGGGGGCAAGCGUUGUUCGGAAUUACUGGGCGUAAAGGGCUCGUAGGCGGCUGACUAAGUCAGACGUGAAAUCCCCCGGCCUAACCGGGGAACUGCGUCUGAAACUGGACGGCUUGAAUUCGGGAGAGGGAUGCGGAAUUCCAGGUGUAGCGGUGAAAUGCGUAGAUAUCUGGAGGAACACCGGUGGCGAAGGCGGCAUCCUGGACCGACAUUGACGCUGAGGAGCGAAAGCCAGGGGAGCAAACGGG